This 371-nucleotide ribosomal RNA is filed under the name uncultured organism. RNAcentral's name for it is "bacterial SSU rRNA". It matches the Rfam family "Bacterial small subunit ribosomal RNA", at positions 526 to 896 of the family's 1533-position model. The record is from RNAcentral.
CGUAGGUGGCGAGCGUUAUCCGGAUUUACUGGGCGUAAAGCGUGUGCAGGUGGGCUGAUAAGUGGUGUAUGAAAUCGCCGCGCUCAACGUGCGGGGUUAUGCCAGACUGUCAGUCUAGAGGUCGAGAGAGGGAUGUGGAAUUCCGGGUGUAGUGGUGAAAUGCGUAGAGAUCCGGAGGAACCCCAGAGGCGAAGGCGGCAUCCUGGCUCGACACUGACACUCAGACACGACAGCAUGGGGAGCGAACGGGAUUAGAAACCCCGGUAGUCCAUGCCGUAAACGAUGCCAACUAGGCGCUGGGGGACUCAACCCCCUCGGUGCCGCAGCAAACGCGAUAAGUUGGCCGCCUGGGGAGUACGGCCGCAAGGCUA